AAAUAUACAAGCAGUUCCUAUGGGGUCCAGCUUUUAUGGUGACUCCUGUCGUUGAACCUUUCAGGACCAGUGUGACUGGCUAUGUUCCUAAGGCUCGAUGGUUUGACUACCAUAGGGGAAGAUAUAAAGCUCAAAGGAAUACUUCACACAUUUUCAGCUCCCUUUGAUACAAUAAAUCUACACGUCCGAGGAGGUUACAUUCUACCAUGUCAAGAGCCAGCACGGAACACACAUCUAAGUCGACAGAAUUACAUGAAGCUCAUUGUUGCUGCAGAUGACAACCAAAUGGCACAAGGGACUCUAUUUUGGGAUGAUGGAGAGUCUAUAGACACUUAUGAAAGAGGUCAAUACACCUCGAUACAAUUCAAUUUAAAUCAGACAACUUUAACAAGCACUGUAUUGGCAAA
RNAcentral lists this long non-coding RNA (407 nucleotides) under Rattus norvegicus (Norway rat). RNAcentral's name for it is "long non-coding RNA NONRATT016470". The record is from RNAcentral. Lineage: Eukaryota; Metazoa; Chordata; Mammalia; Rodentia; Muridae.